GCGUCUGUGACUGUACAGCUAGAGUGUGUCAGAGGGGGGUGGAAUUCCACGUGUAGCAGUGAAAUGCGUAGAUAUGUGGAGGAACACCAAUGGCGAAGGCAGCCCCCUGGGAUAACACUGACGCUCAUGCACGAAAGCGUGGGGAGCAAACAGAAUUAGAUACCCUGGUAGUCCACGCCCUAAACGAUGCUGACUAGUUGUUGUGAAUUUACAUUCUCAGUAACGUAGCUAACGCGUGAAGUCAGCCGCCUGGGGAGUACGGUCGCAAGAUUAAAACUCAAAGGAAUUGACGGGGACCCGCACAAGCGGUGGAUGAUGUGGAUUAAUUCGAUGCAACGCGAAAAACCUUACCUACCCUUGACAUGUCACUAACGAAGUAGAGAUACAUUAGGUGCCCGUAAGGGAAAGUGAACACAGGUGCUGCAUGGCUGUCGUCAGCUCGUGUCGUGAGAUGUUGGGUUAAGUCCCGCAACGAGCGCAACCCUUGUCUUUAGUUGCUACGCAAGAGCACUCUAAAGAGACUGCCGGUGACAAACCGGAGGAAGGUGGGGAUGACGUCAAGUCCUCAUGGCCCUUAUGGGUAGGGCUUCACACGUCAUACAAUGGUGCGUACAGAGGGUUGCCAACCCGCGAGGGGGAGCUAAUCUCUUAAAACGCAUCGUAGUCCGGAUCGUAGUCUGCAACUCGACUACGUGAAGCUGGAAUCGCUAGUAAUCGCGGAUCAGCAUGUCGCGGUGAAUACGUUCCCGGGUCUUGUACACACCGCCCGUCACACCAUGGGAGUGGGUUUUGCCAGAAGCAGUUAGCCUAACCGUAA
RNAcentral lists this ribosomal RNA (817 nucleotides) under uncultured beta proteobacterium. RNAcentral's name for it is "bacterial SSU rRNA". It matches the Rfam family "Bacterial small subunit ribosomal RNA", at positions 623 to 1444 of the family's 1533-position model. The record is from RNAcentral. Lineage: Bacteria; Pseudomonadati; Pseudomonadota; Betaproteobacteria.